Long non-coding RNA from Hypanus sabinus (Atlantic stingray), 3175 nucleotides. RefSeq lists it as uncharacterized. The record is from RefSeq and is a predicted model, not a curated record. Lineage: Eukaryota; Metazoa; Chordata; Chondrichthyes; Myliobatiformes; Dasyatidae. The transcript has 3 exons.
AUGAGAUUUAGGGCUGAGACCUCUUCAUCGGGACUGAGAAGGAAGGGGGAACACACCAGAAUAAAUGGGUGGGGGAGGGGUUGAAGGCUAGCCAAAAGGUGAUGGGUGAAGCCAGGUGGGUGGGAAAGGUCAAGGUCCGGAGAAGAAGGAAUCUGAUAGGACAACAGAGUGGACCAUAGGAGACAGAGGGGACCCGGGGGUUGAUACCUUGAACUUAGUAAAAUUAUUGUCCCUUGGUUGGUGUGUGUGUACCUUGUAUCCUUCCUAGUGCCGUCCAUGGAACCUACUCCAGAAACUGCCUAGUAUUACCCUACCACACAGCCCUCUAGUUUUCUAAGCUCCAUGUAUCUAUCUAGGAAUCUCUUAAAGAGCCUUUUGUAUCCACCUCCACCACCUUCGCUGGCAGUGCAUUCCACGCACUCACCAAUCUGUGCGUGAAAAACUUGCCUCUGACAUCCCCUCUGUACCUAAUUCCAAGCAUCUUAAAACGAUGCCCCCUCAUGUUAGCCAUUUCAGCCCUGGGAAAAAAGCCUCUGAAUAUCCACACAAUCACUGUCUCUCAUCAUCUUAUGUACUUAUAUAUCUACAAUUUAUCCUUGCUUGGACAUUAACUAACCCUUGCCUUGCCACAACUUCCUCACAAGCAUGAAACAUACCUUCCCAUCUCCUCCCACUUCUGCAUUUCACAGGGAACGUUCCCUGUGACUCCCUGGUCUAGCCUUCCAUUCCUACCAACAACUCCACUUCAGGCCAGAAACAGAAAAACCAUUCAGUUUAACACAUGGACAAGGAAUUGGUGUAGGAGGGAGGGCUUCAGAUUUUUGGAUAAUUGGGCUCUUUUCCAGGAAAGGUGAGACAUAUACAGAAGGGAUGGUUUGCACCUGAACUGGAGGGGGUUAUGAAUGUACCACAGCUCUGAGGGGCCGAAGGGUGCGGGGGAGCCCCCUCCUUUGUGAGAAUUGCAAGAGCAUUAUUGGGUUGGGUCAGAGGACCCAGGAAAUGAGAGAGAGAGACGUGGCCAUUGUCUCCUGGAGACCACGUUUGUGGAUUGGGGACUAUUCUAUGUGCAAGCCCUUGGGCAAAGUGAGCUGGUUGAGAGAGGGAUUGCGUCAUCCCAACCUGAUUAACAUCUACUACUCGGCGAGUUAAGAUAAAAGGGGGGCUAUAGGGACAGCCCUUCAGACGCACCAGAAGAAACGCUAGCGAUCCCGUAAUAGCGGGAAGCCAUUUGAAGGAAGCCACGUGCGUUCGGUUCCCUUGCCUGGGGGCUGGUGGCUGGUACCACGGAAAACAACUUGGAACUAACAAUGGGGAACCAACUCCACCGACUCAACGGAUUGGCCUCAUAAAGACCUGGGCAAGUUUCAAACCGUCUCUCUUAAACCCAGAGAGCUGCAGCUUGAAAGGACAGUGACUUUUAUCUUUCCAUCAGACAAUACAAUAUCCCCUAGACCGGGGGUCGGCAACCUGCGGCUCCCGAGCCAUUUGUGGCUCUUUCACCUCUGUGCUGCGGCUCCCUGUGGCUUUGGGAAAUAAUUGACUCCAGCCUGUUCAGAUUGGCAAAAACAUCUCCACGAUCUCCAUCAGCACAGGUACACCACAGGGCCUACCAAUGACUGUGUGGCUAAGCACAGAUCCAAAGCCAUAUUCAAGUUUGCUGAUGUCAUCACUGUCGUAGUUCGAAUAAAAGGUGGUGAUGUAUAAGCAUAUAGGAAGGAGAUUGAAAAUCUAGCCAUAACAACAGCCACUUACUCAAUGUCAGCAAGACCAAGGAGCUGAUUAUUGACUUCAGGAGAAGGAAAUUGGAGGACCAUGAGCCAGUCCUCAUUGGAGGGAGUCUGCAGAGAUUCGUCAUGACGUCAAAAACUUUGACAAACUUCUGUAGCUGUGCAGUAGAGAGCAUAUUGUGGCCUGGUUUGGAACCAUCAAUGCCCUUGAAUGGGAGAUCUGGAUUCAGCCCAGUACAUCAGAGGUAAAGCUUUACCAGCCAUUGAGCACAUCUACAUGAAAUGCUGUCAUAGGAAAGCACCAUCCAUCAUUCAGAGAAGCUCACCAUCCAGACUAUGCUCUUUUCUCACAGCUGCCUUCAGGUAGAAGGUACAAGAGCCUCAGGUCUCACACCACCAGGUUUAAAAUCAGUUACUACCCCUCAACCAUCAGUCCCUUGAACUCACUUGCCCACCAUUUGAGAUGUUCCCAAAACCAAUGAUCUCACUUUAAGUCUCUUUAUCUUGUUAUUUUAUGUUGUCUUUAUUUAUUGCUUUUAUUUAUAUUUGCAUUUGCAGUUUGUCAUAUUCUGCCCUUUGAUUGAUCUUUCAUUGAUUGAUUAGCUGAGUAUGUCCACAGGAAAAUGAAUUCCAGGGUUUAUGUGGUGACUCAUAUGUACUUUGAUAAUAAAGUUUACUUUGACUUUCAACUUUUGAAGUUUGAAGGCAGCAUUCAUCAUCAGAGAUCCCCACCACCCAGUAUGAUGUUGGAAAGGUAAUAAAGAAUAUUUUGACCUUUUUCCACAGUACAAGAAAUACUUAAAAACUCUUGAAGCAACACACACAAAAUGCUGGUGGAACACAGCAGGCCAGGCAGCAUCUAUAAGGAGAAACACUGUCGACAUUUCGGGCCGAGACCCUUCGUCAGGACUAACUGAAAGAAAAGAUAGUAAGAGAUUUGAAAGUAGUGGGGGAGGAGGAAAUGUGAAAUGAUAGGAAAAGACCGGAGGGGGUGGGAUGAAGCUAAGAGCUGGAAAGGUGAUUGGUGAAAGUGGUACAGAGCUGGAGAAGGGAAAGGAUCAUGGGAUGGGAGGCCUCGGGAGAAAGAAAGUUGGGGGGAAGCACCAGAGGGAGAUGAAGAACAGGCAAACAACUAAAUAUGUCAGGGAUGGGGUAGCAAGGGGAGGAGGGGCAUAAUGGAAGUUAGAGAAAUCAAUGUUCAUGCCAUCAGGUUGGAGGCUACCCAGACGGUAUAUAAGGUGGUGUUCCUCCAACCUGAGUUUGGAUUCAUUUUGACAGUAGAGGAGGCCAUGGAUAGAAAUAUCAGAAUGGGAAUGGGACGUGGAAUUAAAAUGUGUGGCCACUGGGAGAUCCUGCUUUCUCUGGCGGACCGAGUGUAGCUGUUCAGCGAAAUGGUCUCCCAGUCUCUGUCGGGUUUCACCAAUAUAUAAAAGGCCACACUGGGAGCA